UGGUUGACUUAUGGGAAUAUCAUAUGUGCCAAUACAAAAUUUAUAAAAACAUUAGAGACAUCUUUAAAGUACUAUUUUAAAAAUAUGUUAAAUUUCUUUAAGUAAACAAUGCAAGACAUUUUACCUUUAAUAAGAAAAAGAGCCUGAAAACUUCCAGUAAAAGAUGACAACGCAUCGAUACACAAACCUUUACAACAACAACAUUAUAAUCCAGUAUUAUGACAUCAAGCUUUAUUUGGCGACCCUAUUCCUUGAAAGCCCAUAGCUAGACCAAUAUCAACCUUCAAGACAGAUGCAAGACGAAUUAUUAUAGCAAUAUCUUAGCCAAACUCGCAUGACAGAGACAAUGAGAGUGAACAUGACAGCUUAAUUUGGAGGGUAGAAAACAAAACUACGAAUAAAAAUUUUGAACAUCAGUUAGUACAAAUUUAAAUGCAUAUAGGCAAAGAUAGAAUUUUUCUAUCCGAUUCGAACUUUCCAAAAUAUGAGCUCAUUCAUCUAUCAAACACAAUUUGUGAGAAAGAAGAAAAACAAAGAAUAAAAAGGGCGAAUGAUGCUACUUUAAAAUUCAGAAAUAACACACAAAAAUGAAAUGUGUCAGCAUUCAUACAACAAAAGAACAUAUUGAAUGAAAGUUGUACUCCUUCGAUCAAGCAAGACCCGAAAAGGAUAGCGCUUCAACUAUUAUAAUAACAAAUUAGAAAAUAUUAAAACCAUCAUUAAAUUCCGAGUCAAUUUCUCGGAAGGUCACUAUAAUAAAUUAUUUGUGAAAAUCACUUUACUUUGUUUUGUAACUAAAAAAUUAUUAUAUUUUGUUAAUUGUAACUCAAAAGUCAAUCUACACUUUUAGGGCAUAUUAAAUAUAAUAUUUCUUUUGCAACUCAACCAUUUUUAAACAUUUAAACAUGACCCAACCUGCUAAAGGAAAAUCAAAAAUUGAUGUGACUCAAUUAUUUCGUAACAAAUCCAAUUAAGCAAUAGUAACUCAUUAAGUAGCAAUAGAUAAAUGUGGAUCAGUUUUUAAAGUAUAUAAAGAAUUACCUAAAGAGAAGUAGGAAUUGGGUCCUCGCCUGUUUUGGAGUAGAAGAAGUUUAUCCCACUCUAAUAUGAAGCAGACCAAUUUACCUUGCAAUUUAACCCAGUUUGAAAUCAAUCAGUCAAAAAGUUCUUAUAAGAAGAUGGCAGAGCAACUAAUUAAUAGAAGAGAAGUAAGAAUGAGAUGCGGUUUAGAUGAGAUGGACCUUCAUAAAAUAAAUAGUUAUAAUAAAAUUCAAAUGGAGUAAGAGAAGAAUAAACCUGAGAGAAUGGUUGAAUAAUAGGAAGAGAGCAGGAAUGGAACAUUCCGUAUAUUUUGUUU
RNAcentral lists this long non-coding RNA (1357 nucleotides) under Nicotiana tabacum (common tobacco). RNAcentral describes it as "long non-coding RNA (NTAB_LNC014370)". Lineage: Eukaryota; Viridiplantae; Streptophyta; Magnoliopsida; Solanales; Solanaceae. The record is from RNAcentral.